UUUGCUUCUCGGCCUUUUGGCGAAGAUCAUUUGUAGUAUCUGUUCUUAUCAGUUUAAUAUUUUUAAAAACUUCCAAAAGCUUGAUUCUGCCAUUUUAUGUAAUGGACAGCAUUU
This is a small nuclear RNA of Anolis carolinensis (green anole), 114 nucleotides long. Its record names the gene U2. It matches the Rfam family "U2 spliceosomal RNA". From Rfam's summary of the family: U2 is a small nuclear RNA (snRNA) component of the spliceosome (involved in pre-mRNA splicing). NCBI's taxonomy places the organism in Eukaryota, Metazoa, Chordata, Lepidosauria, Squamata, Anolidae. The record is from Ensembl.